Molecule: ribosomal RNA, 225 nt
Filed under: uncultured bacterium
Lineage: Bacteria
Description: partial 16S ribosomal RNA
Rfam family: Bacterial small subunit ribosomal RNA
Source: RNAcentral
GAUCAUGGCUCAGGAUGAACGCUGGCGGCGUGCCUAACACAUGCAAGUCGAACGGAGAAUGAGAGAAAGCUUGCUUUUUCUUAUUCUUAGUGUCGGACGGGUGAGUAACGCGUGAGCAACCUGCCUUUCAGUGGGGGAUAACGUCUGGAAACGGACGCUAAUACCGCAUGACACAUGACUGUGGCAUCACAGACAUGUCAAAGGAGCAAUUCGCUGAAAGAUGGG